AUUACCCACUCCCAGCACGGGGAGGUAGUGACAAAAAAUAACGAUACGGGACUCUAUUGAGGCCCCGUAAUCGGAAUGAGUACACUUUAAAUUCUUUAACAAGGAUCCAUUGGAGGGCAAGUCUGGUGCCAGCAGCCGCGGUAAUUCCAGCUCCAAUAGCGUAUAUUAAAGUUGUUGCGGUUAAAAAGCUCGUAGUUGGUUCUGCGUGCCGCGCUGUCGGUUUGCCGCCUGUCGGUGUAACUGGCAUGUCGCGGCAUGUCCUGUCGGUGGUGAACGAGAUGCCCGGUGCUGGCUAAGGUUUUUACAGCCGAAGUUAUGUGCCGUGUGUUUUCUCGUUUGCCGAAUUAUCCUACUCCGGUGCUCUUAAACGAGUGUCGAGGUAGGCCGACACAUUCACUUUGAACAAAUUAGAGUGCUUCAAGCAGGCUGAAAAUACUGCCUGAAUAGUGGUGCAUGGAAUGAUAAAAUAGGACCUCGGUUCUAUUUUGUUGGUUUUAGGAAUAUGAGGUAAUGAUCAAUGUGGACUGGCGGGGGCAUUCGUAUUGCGACGUUAGAGGUGAAAUUCUUGGAUCGUCGCAAGACGCACUAGAGCGAAAGCAUUUGCCAAGUAUGUCUUAAUUGAUCAAGAACGAAAGUUAGAGGUUCGAAGGCGAUCAGAUACCGCCCUAGUUCUAACCAUAAACGAUGCCAGCCAGCGAUCCGCCGAUGUUCCUUUAAUGACUCGGCGGGGAGCUUCUACUCGGGAAACCAAAGCUUUUGGGUUCCGGGGGAAGUAUGGUUGCAAAGCUGAAACUUAAAGGAAUUGACGGAAGGGCACCACCAGGAGUGGAGCCUGCGGCUUAAUUUGACUCAACACGGGAAACCUCACCAGGCCAGGACAU
Molecule: ribosomal RNA, 881 nt
Filed under: Phasmatocoris sp.
Lineage: Eukaryota; Metazoa; Arthropoda; Insecta; Hemiptera; Reduviidae
Description: SSU rRNA
Rfam family: Eukaryotic small subunit ribosomal RNA
Source: RNAcentral